This 933-nucleotide long non-coding RNA is filed under the name Physcomitrium patens. RNAcentral's name for it is "long non-coding RNA (PPAT_LNC010544)". Lineage: Eukaryota; Viridiplantae; Streptophyta; Bryopsida; Funariales; Funariaceae. The record is from RNAcentral.
CAUUUUUGAGGUUAUCGUUAAUUUGGUAACUCCGAUCCUUUUUAAUUUUUUUGUGAUUAUUUUUAAUUUAUUCUUUUAGAAGUAUGCAAAAUUUGAGUCAAGAUCAACGGUUUAUUUAUUAGUUAUUGAAGUUUAAAUCUAUUAUAGGGAUUACUAGGAUUUGGUUUAGAGUUUAGGAUUUUUAUUAGGAUUUGAUUUAGAGUUUGGUUAGGAUUUGAUUAGGAUUUGGUUUAGGAUUUAAGAUUUGGAUUAGGAUUUGGUUAGGAUUUGAUUUAGAGUUUAGGGUUUAGUUAGGAUUUGGUUUAGGAUUUGGUUAGGGUUUGAUUUAAGAUUCGAUUGAGGUUUGGUUUAAGGUUUGUUUAGGAUUUGAUUUAGGAUUUAGGAUUUUAUUAGGAUUUAAGAUUCAAUUAGUUUUGGCCUAAAAUUUGAAUAAAAUUCAAUGAAAUUUUAAUUAGAAUUAAAUUAAGAUUGAAUUGAGAUGUUUUUGAGUGAUAUUUGUAAUCCUUCUAAUAUUUCUUUAAGAAUUCUUAUUGUUUGUUUGAAAUUUCUUUGAGAUUUUUUUGAAUUUGAUUAUGCUUGUUUAGCAUUAUUAUGGUCUAAUUAGAGGAUUUUUAGUACUUUAUUAGAAUUAAGAUUUUGUUAUUGCAAUUACUAUUCUUCCUUCUACAGCUAGGUGUUUGGAGCAUUCUUAAGUAAGACUUCAUGUAUUACAACAUAUUUGGUGAACUCGACGUGAAAUACUUGAGGUGGAAGGAAUUUAGUUUUUUUGGAUUAUUUGAAUUUUGGAGAAGAAAUACAAGAAAGUUAGAAGAAGAGCUUUGGGUGAUAUGUAAAUUGAAGCUUUUGAAUUUUUUGAGUUUUGGAGACUAUCUUAAUAUAAAAUGAUAAUAUUUGGAUUAUUAUGGAGUAUUAUAAGGCUUUAUAGAUAUGUUG